Molecule: non-coding RNA, 117 nt
Filed under: Gorilla gorilla gorilla (western lowland gorilla)
Lineage: Eukaryota; Metazoa; Chordata; Mammalia; Primates; Hominidae
Source: Rfam by way of RNAcentral
GCUGGGUGUGGUGGCUCACACCUGUAAUCCCAGCACUUUGGGAGGCCAAGGCGGGUGGAUCACUUGAGGCCAGGAGUUCAAGACUGGCCUGGCCAACAUGGUGAGAUCCCGUCUCUA